This 782-nucleotide ribosomal RNA is filed under the name Pedobacter sp. RNAcentral's name for it is "bacterial SSU rRNA". It matches the Rfam family "Bacterial small subunit ribosomal RNA", at positions 43 to 824 of the family's 1533-position model. Lineage: Bacteria; Pseudomonadati; Bacteroidota; Sphingobacteriia; Sphingobacteriales; Sphingobacteriaceae. The record is from RNAcentral.
CAGGCCUAAUACAUGCAAGUCGAGGGGUAGAGCUAGCUUGCUAGCUUGAGACCGGCGCACGGGUGCGUAACGCGUAUGCAACCUACCUUCAUCAGGGGGAUAGCCCGGAGAAAUCCGGAUUAACACCGCAUGAAAUCACAGAACGGCAUCGUUCAAUGAUCAAACAUUUAUGGGAUGGAGAUGGGCAUGCGUGUCAUUAGUUAGUUGGCGGGGUAACGGCCCACCAAGACCGCGAUGACUAGGGGAUCUGAGAGGAUGACCCCCCACACUGGUACUGAGACACGGACCAGACUCCUACGGGAGGCAGCAGUAAGGAAUAUUGGUCAAUGGGGGCAACCCUGAACCAGCCAUGCCGCGUGCAGGAAGACGGCCCUCUGGGUUGUAAACUGCUUUUAUUCGGGAAUAAACCUAUCUACGUGUAGAUAGCUGAAUGUACCGAAGGAAUAAGGAUCGGCUAACUCCGUGCCAGCAGCCGCGGUAAUACGGAGGAUCCAAGCGUUAUCCGGAUUUAUUGGGUUUAAAGGGUGCGUAGGCGGCCUGUUAAGUCAGGGGUGAAAGACGGUAGCUCAACUAUCGCAGUGCCCUUGAUACUGAUGGGCUUGAAUGGACUAGAGGUAGGCGGAAUGUGACAAGUAGCGGUGAAAUGCAUAGAUAUGUCACAGAACACCGAUUGCGAAGGCAGCUUACUAUGGUCUUAUUGACGCUGAGGCACGAAAGCGUGGGGAUCAAACAGGAUUAGAUACCCUGGUAGUCCACGCCCUAAACGAUGAACACUCGCUGUU